AACGAACGCUGGCGGCAUGCCUAACACAUGCAAGUCGAACGCCCCGCAAGGGGAGUGGCAGACGGGUGAGUAACGCGUGGGAACGUGCCCUUCGCUUCGGAAUAGCCCCGGGAAACUGGGAGUAAUACCGGAUACGCCGUAUUGGGAAAGAUUUAUCGGCGAAGGAUCGGCCCGCGUUAGAUUAGCUAGUUGGCGGUGUAAUGGACCACCAAGGCUACGAUCUAUAGCUGGUCUGAGAGGAUGAUCAGCCACACUGGGACUGAGACACGGCCCAGACUCCUACGGGAGGCAGCAGUGGGGAAUCUUGGACAAUGGGCGCAAGCCUGAUCCAGCCAUGCCGCGUGAGUGAAGAAGGCCUUAGGGUUGUAAAACUCUUUCGCCGGAGAAGAUAAUGACGGUAUCCGGAGAAGAAGCCCCGGCUAACUUCGUGCCAGCAGCCGCGGUAAU
RNAcentral lists this ribosomal RNA (447 nucleotides) under uncultured bacterium. RNAcentral describes it as "bacterial SSU rRNA". It matches the Rfam family "Bacterial small subunit ribosomal RNA", at positions 29 to 524 of the family's 1533-position model. The record is from RNAcentral.